Molecule: ribosomal RNA, 323 nt
Filed under: uncultured Euglyphida
Lineage: Eukaryota; Cercozoa; Imbricatea; Euglyphida
Also listed under: 1 other name
Description: SSU rRNA
Rfam family: Eukaryotic small subunit ribosomal RNA (bases 61-323)
Source: RNAcentral
GAUUUCUGAUUGACCACCCUGGCCCGCGGCUAUCCGGUCGUGAGUGCUGGUGUGAGUCUGUCAUCCUUCUAGAGAGCCAUGCCUGCUGUUCACUCAGCUGGGCGUGUGCGAUCUAGAUCAUUUACUUUGAAAAAAUUAGAGUGUUUAAAGCAGGCUUAUGCUGUGAAUACAUUAGCAUGGAAUAAUAAUAUAGGACUUUUGUUCUAUUUUGUUGGUUCAUAGAAUGAAAGUAAUGAUUGAUAGGGAUAGUUGGGGGUGCUAGUAUUCAGCGGCCAGAGGUGAAAUUCUUGGAUUCGCUGAAGACUAACUACUGCGAAAGCAUU